CAAUAGCGUAUAUUAACGUUGUUGCAGUUAAAAAGCUCGUAGUUGGAUUUCUGGAGGGAGCGUCGGCCCGUAUUUACGAGUGCGUGACGUCUCUGUCCAUCCUUGCGGGAAGGCACGGCAUUGAUUUGUUGUGUCGGAUCGCAUCAUUUACUGUGAAAAAAUUAGAGUGUUCAAAGCAGGCUUUCGCUUGAAUACAUUAGCAUGGAAUAAUAAGAUAGGACUUUGGUGCUAUUUUGUUGGUUGAGCCUAAAGUAAUGAUUACUAGGGAUAGUUGGGGGCACCUGUAUUGCGUUGUCAGAGGUGAAAUUCUUGGAUUUACGCAAGACAAACAGCUGCGAANGNGUCUGCNAAGGAUGUUUNCAUUA
Molecule: ribosomal RNA, 365 nt
Filed under: uncultured eukaryote
Lineage: Eukaryota
Description: partial 18S ribosomal RNA
Rfam family: Eukaryotic small subunit ribosomal RNA
Source: RNAcentral